Molecule: ribosomal RNA, 1216 nt
Filed under: metagenome
Description: bacterial SSU rRNA
Rfam family: Bacterial small subunit ribosomal RNA
Source: RNAcentral
GGCAUACGGGUAGCUGGUCUGAGAGGAUGGUCAGCCACACUGGGACUGAGACACUGCCCAGACUCCUACGGGAGGCUGCAGUCGAGAAUCAUUUGCAAUGCGCGAAAGCGUGACAAUGCGACGCUGCGUGGAGGAUGACGGCCUUAGGGUUGUAAACUCCUGUCAUUCGGGAAAAAUUGUCCUGAUAUUAAUACUAUCGGGAUUUGAUGGUACCGAAAGAGGAAGCCACGGCUAACUCUGUGCCAGCAGCCGCGGUAAUACAGAGGUGGCGAGCGUUGUUCGGAUUUACUGGGCGUAAAGAGUACGUAGGUGGUUUUGUAUGUCGGACGUGAAAGCCCACGGCCCAACCGUGGAAUUGCAUCCGAAGCUGCAGGACUAGAGUGCAGGAGGGGAGAGCGGAAUUCCUGGUGUAGCGGUGAAAUGCGUUGAUAUCAAGAAGAACACCGGUGCGAAGGCGGCUCUCUGGAAUGUUACUGACACUGAGGUACGAAAGCUGGGGGAGCGAACAGGAUUAGAUACCCUGGUAGUCCCAGCCGUAAACGGUGCACACUUGGUGUGGGAGGUAUUGACCCCUUCCGUGCCGGAGCUAACGCGUUAAGUGUGCCGCCUGGGGAGUACGGCCGCAAGGCUAAAACUCAAAGAAAUUGACGGGGGCCCGCACAAGCGGAGGAGCAUGUGGCUUAAUUCGAUGCAACGCGAAGAACCUUACCAGGGCUUGACAUCUAGCUGCAAACCCCCUGAAAGGAGGGAAUCUUUCGAAGGUGCUAGACAGGUGCUGCAUGGCUGUCGUCAGUUCGUGCCGUGAGGUGUUGGGUUAAGUCCCGCAACGAACGCAACCCCUGUGUUUAGUUGCCACCGUAGGUGAUAAAUCUGCGAGCACUCUAAACAGACUGCCCGUACAAGCGGGAGGAAGGUGGGGACGACGUCAAGUCAGUAUGGCCCUUACGCCCUGGGCUGCACACGUGCUACAAUGGUCGGUACAGAGGGAAGCAAAAUCGCGAGAUGGAGCAAAUCCCCAAAACUUGCCUCAGUUCGGAUUGGAGUCUGCAACUCGACUCCAUGAAGUUGGAUUCGCUAGUAACGGCGUAUCAGCUACGACGCCGUGAAUACGUUCCCGGGCCUUGUACACAUCGCCCGUCACAUCAUGAAAGCCGUCUGCACCCGAAGUCGCUGACCCAACCCGCAAGGGAGGGAGGUGCCGAAGGUGUGGGUGGUG